AAUAACAUUUUCACAACUAUAAAUAUAUAUAUAUAGAUGUAGAUAUACCUAUAUGAUAUAGAUGAGAUAGAAGACAGAUACAUGGAUGGAUGGAUGGAUGGAUGGAUGGAUAGAUAGAUAGAUAGAUAGAUAGAUAGAUAGAUAGAUAGAUAGAGAGGGAUGGAUGGAUGGACAGAUGGACAGGCAGAUAAAUGGAUAGACAGACAUGUGUAUAAGAAGAUAUUGGUUUAAAAUAUUGUGAAAUGCAUAUGAAUCUUCAAAAAUUGUCAAUUUUUAUUUUUUCAACAUAAGGUUCCUUAUGGAAAAGGUAGCAUGGAGACUUCUUUAACACUGAGAACCUUAGAACUGAAUAGACACAAAAUCACAAGGAACUUUAAAUUGUAAUGUGAUUUCCUGACAUAGAAUCAGAAACCUUCACACACUUCUGUGAAGCCAGACAUCUUUGAAGGAUACAGAGGACACACAGCUAUCAAUAUAUAGAAGGAGGAGAAGCUCCCUCAAGUAAAGAACAGCAAUAGAAGACAAGAACAACUGUCACCAGCCAGAAGAGGUGUCCAGUCUAUCUGCCUGGGUAGCAUCCUGAAGUCCAAUAGCGAGAGUCAUGGGGGACACUUACUUGUCUUGGUUAAUAUGACUCUUUUUGACCUGUGUCAGCUCUUUGAAAGUCUGUCCAAAGUGAGCAGUGGGGUGAACAAUGGCGGCAGCAUCUUUAGGUAUCUGGAUCCAACCAUCAGGAGCUCUAAGCACUGACCCGCAAUGGCUGCCUGCCUCAGUUUGCACACCAGAUGGAUGCCAAUGCUGGUCUCUGUCAGGAAAGUACACAGAUUUCCUAAUGGUGCUUUCAACAUUAGUUCCUAUUAGAGUAUGUAACUGAAGAGGUAUCAGAGAUAACUCUUAUGUUUCUUUAACGUGAUAGAUGUUCCUCAUAUUUUUCUAAAUUUAGAAAUAUCUUGAACAUUGUGCCAUGUAAAGUAUUGAUUAUCGUUCAUGUGCAUGUUUUAACUUCUGCGAUUUAUUUAUUGACUUUUAAAGCUUCUAAUUUCAACACUAACUUCCAAACGGCAACAGAAGAAAAGUAAAACAACAUUAGGGGCAGAAGAAUAAUUUGGAUCAUGUGCGUUGGAAUAGAGGUACUGAACAGAACCACUCGAGUGGGAAGAGGUGUGUCUCCAGUGAGAUUCCAGAUGCUGUCAAGUUGAUGAUCAACAAACAUUACCCACCAUACAAGCUAUGAAGACAACUUAUUCAUUCAGACUCAAGCCUACUUGCCAUGUAUUCCUAGAAGUUCUGGAAAGUAGAAAUUCCAUAAAUAUCAAAACCUGAACAACCUCCUCACUUACCAGUCAGGCAUGCGAGACCAACACUUCUGAAACUGUGACCUGGACAAGCACCAGUAGCUUCGUUACCUGGGAAUUAUCAGAAAUGCAAAUUUUAACUCUACUCAACCUAUUCUCUGGAUGAAGCCAAUCACUUCCUCUCAUUGGACUGCCUGGAAUGGAUGGCUUUCUCUUCCCAGAAUGGCCUCCAUGUGCAGCAAAGCUAAGUUCACAGCUAAUUGCAGUUGGGUGUUUGGAGCUUCCUUUUCCUGCCCUUCACUAUUACCUGGCUUAGUAAAAAGAAUCAGCAGGUCCCAUCUGUUAAUGACAAGGGAACCAUUCCAGGCUUUGAGAAAACCAAGAUUUAGAAAUCAGUAUAGUCUUGAAAAUCAUCACAAUGAAGGUAGGUAGAUCUUACCAUGCCCUGGCAAAGAAUCUACAAAAUCAGAAAGCUUGAUUUUUGUUGUCAUUUCAAUCAACAGAAUGCUAGAACUAAGAAGAACUAAACAGGUGACCCAGGCGACAUAUAGAACAACAUAUUUAAUUGGGGACUUGCAAUUUCAGAGUUUUAGAGCAAGAACAUGUGGCAUGAACAGCUGAGAGCUCCGAAGUUGAUGAAGUAGAAGAAAACAAAUGCUACCUGGGAAUGGUGGGGGCCUUUGCAACCUCAAAAUCCACUCCCAGUAACACACCUCCAUCUCGGGUCCAGACCUUGAAACACUGGUGGACUUGGAGUUCCCUGGAGCUGGAAAGAAUGUAAUGGUCAAGAACUCUAAGAGUUGUACAACCUAAGAUGUUCCUCAUGAAAUCUCUUUGACGGCCAAUGCUUUAAAAGAAUCUGACACCUCCAGCCCAAAAAUGGAUCAAAAUUGAAAGUUGCCUGGUUUGUCACCUCUAUAGUUAAGUCUGGUUAAAGCACCUUCUGUUUAGGAUGCCAAUGAGAUGCAGGUGGUGAGGAUCUAUGACUGGGGUCCAUAUGGUCUCUUCAGGUGCAUGAAUGUAUGGUUGGGACCCUGAUAAUUUUCUCUGUGUGUUUAUCUCUCUGUAUAUUUCUGUCACUUCUAUUGAUUGGAGUCAAAGAUCUAAAAAAUAAGGGAAGUGAGCCCUCCUGGGACAACAGCUACUGCUGCCCCUGGGAUGAUACACAACUUCCCAUAGGCUCAUAGGUCAUGCUGGCCCAUCCAUGCUGCACCCCUCUUCUGGCAGCAACUGUGGAUGCAAGUCGGUGCUACUGUUGCUAUGGUGAUGCUAGCAGUAGGGGCUCCUGAGUAGUAUUGUGGGUGGUGGACACAUGCCCAGAAGGAAUUUUGUGGAGUAAGGAUGGCUAUGAUGGAUGUCUCAGGCACUGUGACCCUGGAGGAGGCUAGUGGCCUAUCUAUCCAAAAGACUUGACCUUGUUUGGCCUGCUUUUUUGUGAUCAGUUGCUGCUACAACUGUACUAAUAAAUACGUUGACUUUGUGCCAGGAACUGUCAUUAACUUACAUCUCCAUCAUUGUAAUGGACCUCCUGAGGGGAACCGCAGUAAGUGGAUGCAUAACAUUGAAAUAACCCAUUAUGAGGCACGUCUUCUGGGCCAGACCCAUAUCUGACUUAAUAAAACAAUAGCCAUCAGCCCACCCAGCCCACGACCAGAUGAUAUACCAAAGGAGCCACUCCAAGACAGCAGCCAAGUUCUGGUCAUCAGACUCCCCCAAACAGAGGAGGGACAUAGCCGUGGAUGUGGAGAGGCCCCAUAACAACCCUCAUAAGGGGAAAUGUACUCCAGGAACUGCCCAGUCUUUGGCUCCUCCAGUUCUGAUCAACAGGAGCUCAAAGCUCAGAUCCUGCAGGCAGGGUCUGACAAUACAGAAACACCCAUAGCUGUGGUAGAAGGUGGAUGUGAUCAGCUUCAUCUCCCAUCUUAAGCAAGAACCCAGGCCUGAUUGCUGCUACCUCUGCAGUUGUGGCUGCGGCAUCCUGCUCUGCUCUGGGGCUGGUGGAAGCCUCUGGCUUCCACUCUGGGCUCCACUGCAGCUGCACUCUGCACUUCCUACAGACAUGAAGAGGUUUUAUAUGGAGCAGCUUUGUUCAACACGGAAUCAGGUAUACUAGGUUGCAGUGGUCACCACCCAGGAUGAUAUAGGCCCAGUCCCUCAGCCAAUGGACUUCAACACAAAUGGCUGACCUUCUGGCUUUAUCCCAUUCAUUUUGCUGGGAGAAGGGCAAAGACAUGCAUACUACGAACAGUUGGCAUGCAUUUGCCAAUGCCAGUGUCCAUAGGCCCUCUUUAGAGAGAAGGGACUCCUCACCUUGACAGAAAGAACACAGGAAGAAACCAGGUGACAAAAAGAAACAGGAGGCAAAUGGAUGGCAGUUCUUGUUGAACAAGAGACCCAUACUCUCUGCUGUUAUCAGAAGACAAAAAAUUCUGUAUAUGGGUUGCCUCUACCUCUGAGAUUUGACAAUGCCCUCAUCUUCAUGAUCAAACUUUCCCCUAAAUCUGGCAAAGGCCCUAUAUGUUCAUCUAAAAUUACAUUGUGCAUAAAAUCAGGAAGGGUAAAAUAAAUCUGUCGAUGAAAAUUGGGCUAACCUCCUACCUUUUGCUCUAAGGGUCAGAUGCCCCCCAUAUUGAGAUGUUCACUAGGUAAAAGUUACUAACCAUUCCCCUGUCACAUUCUUAAAGAUCCUGCAACAGACCCAGAGGACUAUUCACAAGGCUGAGCCCUUGCUCAUGUCUGAGCUUGACCAAAAGUUCCAGACUGGAAACCUUAUGUGGACAGAGAGGAUCCUGACACAGAGCUUGGGAACAAUGGUGAAAACCCAUACAUUGUGGUCCUCAGCACCCAGUGUCACCACACCCUGCUAAACGGGGAUACAGAAUAUAGGUCAUCACCAGAGUCUCUAACCCACUAAAGAUAAAACAGACACACUUCUUAUAAUGAUAGCUUUCUCAUUUUCUUUAGAUUUAUAUGUUUCAUUAAUCGUUUAAUUAAGCCAUACAUGUUUGAACACAUAAAACAUUUUAAAAUAAUAUUUAUAUGAUUAUAACAACUUUCCAAGCUUAAAACUUUAAAAUCGUAUGUUCUUAAGUUACCAAAUAUUUUCUAUUACUUCAUCUCUCUUGUCUUGAUCACGGAGCAAACUUGUUUUUGGUACAAAUUACCACAUGAAUGCUAGAGCCCAGUUUCAUAUGCUAUUCACAGAAUGAUGUCAUGGUAAUGAUGCCAGCCACAGUGGGCUUCCAACCUCAAUAAAUUGUACUUUUCUUAUGUUGUCUUUUUUUGUAGGAAAGACAUUAAACCCUGAUAAUCCAAAAGAUCAGAAGCAGGGAGCUCAUAGCCAAUCUUAGUGCUACCUCCAAUUCUAUCAGCUAGAAAUGGGACCAAUCUGAGGUCACUCCGGGGCAUCUCCAGGGAAAGGGUACAUGUUUAAUGUUACCAAGCUACCAGCUAGUAGUUCCUGGGUGCAGAUUCCUUUAAUCAUGCACAGUAGAUUAAUUCCAAGAAUGACAGUCAAAUGUUUUUCAGGCCCCAGAGACUGCAUACCCUGCUCUCACUCACAACUUAACCAAGUGUUGAGGAGCCAAAUCUGGACCAUUAGUAGCUGGUUCCCUCAAGAAUUGCAGGAUUGAGGGGGGUCCACAGCACUCACGGACUCACCCUGCAGACUCACCCAGCAGUCAGUGUGGCUCUGCUUCCUGCAUCUUGAAAUGGAGGAUUUGGAUCUGAGAAGGCAGAUCCUCUAAUGCAGUGUACACAGGCAUCUGCCUUCAUGGCCACAGGGUAUGUGCACACCUAGUUUUAUUGGCAUAAAAAUGUUUGCCAACUUACACCACAUCCCGGGAUUUUGGGUGCCCCCUAUCAUUCUGCGUCCUCAGUAACACUUCUAUUGUUGGACGUUUCUGUUUAUCUAUUCUGGACUUGUUAUCUCACUGAAAAAAAUUCUUUUUAGACAAACUAUAAGGUGGCUUUGAACUGACUAUGUAGUCCUGGCUGACCCAACCUCACAGAGAUCCUCCUGCUUCAUCUUCCCAGUGCCGGGAUUACACACAUGUGCCACCAUGCCUAGAAUUUCUCUUCUUGAAAUUUGACUAUGUUUUACAUGUUAAUGUUGGUGUUGUACAUACAGCAUACUUAAAGACUGCAAUUUGGAGAUUUUCCUACCACAUGAGUUCCUUCCCCAUUACUAAAACACAUGCCCGAGAAUCAGCUUAAUGAAGGGGUGUACGUUGGCCAACAAUUGGAGGCCACAGUCCACCAUGGCAGGUUGAGCAGCUAUCUAUAUGGUAUCUACCCUGAGAACGCAGAGAGCAAUGAAUACUUAUGCUCCACCCCCUUUCUCUUUAUAUACAGUCAAGGCCUAUUGAUUAAUCAGUGCUCUUCAAUGUUAAGAUUUAUUGUCCAACUACCCUGACCCCAGUAAUCUCUCAGGGUAUCCAGAAGGCUUUGUAAUCAAGGUGUGGUACAUUUCUUCAGGCUCUUGUUUUUUUGUUUUUCUUUGUGGGUUUUUUUUUUUUUUUGAGACAGGGUCUCACUCUGGACUGAAGUUGGUCUUCACCAUGACUGAUUCUCUGUCUCCAGGUUGUUAGAAUUACAGGGCCUAACCACCACAUUUGCCUGGAAAUUUCCACAGAUCUAUUUGUUUCUUGGUGAUCAAAAAGAGAAUCUAACAAUGGUCAAGCUAGGCCCAAUGUCUUUGCUCCCUUCCUGCUGCCUGCUGAUUGGAAUGUACAAGUCUCAGCUACCUCUCUAGUACCAUGGCUUCCUGUGUUCCCACCCCCCAUGACAAUAAUAGACUAGACCUCUGAAAAUGUUAAACCAGUCCCAAUUAAAAGUUUUCCUCUGUAAGAGUUGUCAUGGUCAUGGUGUCUCUUCAUAGCAAUAGAACAUUGACUGUGACACUGGUACUAUGUCUGAUCUUAAACAACUGUAAACUCAACCAGGCAUGAUGUUAGUAGAACAUCCAGGUGAGAGGAUGUUGGGGCUACAAGCUCAUAGAGAACCCCAGCCAACAGAUACCUGUAAGGUCUCAUGGGAAGGUCUCUGUUUUCUUUAGUGUCCUCUUUCCAUCUAUCUUACUGAUUUUUAUUCUCCCCAUGAACAGAGUGUAAAAAUACAUUGCCUUUACUUCUAAGUCAUCCUUAGCCUUCUCUUUAAGGCCCGAGUUUAUGGGACAAGGUUUCUUACUGGAAUCUUCACCUUUGGUAUAUUUCUAAUCUCUGGACUCUUGAGCCCUGAAGAAUAAAAUAAGAAUCAGGUUCUCAGAGACUCUCAAAGAGAAGAAAUGAAGUCCAUAAACUCAGUGAAAAUUUUUACCAACCCAAAGUCAAACUGAUUCAAAUCAACGCUGGCCCACUAAAUUAUCAGAGCAUCUUCAAGGGAGAACGCUCCCAGUACUGGGGACAAAAGUUGAAACUUGAGCUUUUUUUUUUUUUUUAAGUACUUUCUUCUUUAAUCCAAAACAAACCACAAUUAUCAUAGUCAAUGUUGUCAUAAAGUAAAUUUACCUUGCUUGCAUUUCAUAUAUGUAGGAUUUUGGAGGUCAUCCAUUAAUACACACAUAAAGUACUGUAUUAGGCAAUUUUGUCAUCAUUAUUAAAAAUGGCAUAUUUCUUAAAUAAUUCAGUAUAUUUUAGGGAUACUUUUCUUUUUUUCCUUUUUUUUUUAUUAACUUGAGUAUUUCUUAUAUACAUUUCGAGUGUUAUUCCCUUUCUCGGUUUCCGGGCAAACAUCCCCCUAAUCCCUCCCCAGUCCCAUUCCUUAUGGGUGUUCCCCUCCCCAUCCUCCCCCAUUGCCGCCCUCCCCCCAACAGUCUAGUUCACUGGGGGUUCAGUCUUAGCAGGACCCAGGGCUUCCCCUUCCACUGGUGCUCUUACUAGGAUAUUCAUUGCUACCUAUGAGGUCAGAGUCCAGGGUCAGUCCAUGUAUAGUCUUAAGGUAGUGGCUUAGUCCCUGGAAGCUCUGGUUGCUUAGCAUUGAGCUUUUAAUCUCAUUGCAGAUGAAAGCGAUGUAGACUGGGAGUCAGAGGCAAGAGGGUCUCUAGGUUGUGUUAAGCCUGGGCUGUGCAUUGAGAGCCUUUCUCAAAAGAACAGCCAUAAGGAAGUGACAUGGAAACAAGCUGUCAUCUCAGGGGAUAUCACUUUAUAUGAUUUGGUGAUUUAAUCCUAUGAAAAGAAACUCAGAUAUUGGGUGACAGUCUAAUAGCAGAACCUUGUCUAGCACAGACAAAUAGAAGGACAGGAAGGAGGGAGGAAGAAGGGCCAAAGAUGAGCGAUGCUACAGGCAUUCAAAUGUUAAAAAUGCUAUCCCUAAGAACUGGAGGAAAGCUAGCUGUCCCACACUGUAGCAGUGCUUACAGUUUACUGCAGUUCAGAAACUGGAGAUGAUUGUCCCUGUGUUGCUGUACAGAAAGGACUGGAACAGUAGCAGAGAGAGUGGCUGCGCCCAUUUCAUGGGUGCUUUAGAGCAAGACACCUUCCGGAGAAGUUUUUAAAUAAAAAAGUUCAAGUGGUAACUCUGAGCUUAAAAUUUUAUAGCUUAGGUAAAAUCAGAUUUUUCUUCUUAUUUCCAAAUGAAGUUUUGAAGGUAUACUAAUUCAUAUUGUUUUUUUUUUUUUUUUUAUUAACUUGAGUAUUUCUUAUAUACAUUUCGAGUGUUAUUCCCUUUCCCGGUUUCCGGGCAAACAUCCCCCUCCCCCCUCCCCUUCCUUAUGGGUGUUCCCCUCCCAACCCUCCCCCCAUUGCCGCCCUCCCCCCAUAGACUAGUUCACUGGGGGUUCAGUCUUAGCAGGACCCAGGGCUUCCCCUUCCACUGGUGCUCUUACUAGGAUAUUCAUUGCUACCUAUGGGGUCAGAGUCCAGGGUCAGUCCAUGUAUAGUCUUUAGGUAGUGGCUUAGUCCCUGGAAGCUCUGGUUGCUUGACUAAUUCAUAUUGUUUACCUAGCUGUAGUGCUAUAUGAACACUACUUAAAAGGCAAAAUAAACUUGGUUUAUAUUUUAAAAAAAAAGGUUUCAGUUGGGGAUUUAGCUCAGUGGUAGAGCGCUUGCCUAGGAAGCGCAAGGCCCUGGGUUCGGUCCCCAGCUCCGAAAAAAAAAAAAAAAAAAAAAAAAAAGGUUUCAGAGCUACAGAGGAACAGCCUUGGAAGAUGCUACUGACAUGGAGACUCCAGGCUCAGCCUCAGCCCAUGAAGAGAUAACAGAACACAGAAAUCUUCCUGUUCCUGCUAGCACUGUAGCAGCCCACACCUGCCCUCCUGAUGCUUGGGGAACUGAGACAGGAGAGCCUGGAGUUUGAGGCUACAAAGGGAGGCACUGUGCUUUCUCAUUACCAAGCCUGGUAUAGGACAAAUCAGCACAACUCAGAAAUCGGUCUCUCCCGCCCUUGCAGUUGCAAAGGGAAAUGGGAUGUAGCUUUGCACAGUUCUCAAGCUCCAUCUGAGUCUCCCUUCUCCAGCUCUGAGCCCAGUCUCGCCAGUUUGUUGGAUGUGAAUUCUAUGAUCCCAAAUUAAUGUGCAAAUCUUUUUUCCUAUAAUUCAGCUUUUCAUCAAAGCCACUAAGAACCAGAAGCUAAACAAAAAGCAACGGCUUCUUAAGAACUUUUUACUUCUUUUGUU
Rattus norvegicus (Norway rat) is the source of this 8907-nucleotide non-coding RNA. NCBI's taxonomy places the organism in Eukaryota, Metazoa, Chordata, Mammalia, Rodentia, Muridae. The record is from RefSeq and is a predicted model, not a curated record.